Asterophora parasitica is the source of this 109-nucleotide non-coding RNA. The record is from the annotation of a GenBank genome assembly. NCBI's taxonomy places the organism in Eukaryota, Fungi, Basidiomycota, Agaricomycetes, Agaricales, Lyophyllaceae.
GGUGAGAUGGCCGAGCGGUCUAAGGCGCCAGACUAAGGACCAACAUGCGUGGCAUGUACUUCUUGAAAUCUGGUCAUUCGUGGCGUGGGUUCGAAUCCCACUCUCAUCA